UUUUCUCUCUCUGUGGAAUAAUUUUAACUUGUCUGGCUGUACUGACUGAGAUCUUCCUUGGUUGUGGCAAACUGAUCUUUGACCUGGAGAAGCAAACAAAUCUACUUCUAAAAAUACGAUAUUUGGGAUCUGUCCCAGGAAUAUCUUGGUGGAUAGGCCAAAUGAUCAAUCCUCAAGAUGGUCUUCAGAAAGCAAUUAUCCUCCCCAGCUUACAUUGGAAGUGUGAAGCAAUGAGGCUGGUGAUGCUGAAGACCACGGCCCUGUCAGAAAGGCUCAUCCUGAUGAUUCCAGUGAUGGUCUGACGUGGAAGACUGAAGAGCAUUUAAUUCCCCUGAGUGGCUUGAUUAAUAACAUGUAGAACAGAAGCAUAGAUUUUUAUUUAGCCACCAACUUAAUUGUAAAAGCAGUCAAGAUGUUUGUGUUGUGGACAAGGGCAGCCCUUGUUAUUUUGCUGUUUUGUGGGUUUUAUUUUUACAUGCGAUUCACUGUUCCCUAAUUAAAAAAAAAAAUGCCUGAGCAGAAUUGGUUAAAGAGAAAGAAAUUGAUAAACUGUACAGGCAGCUUGUGUAGUGCAGUUUGGAAUCUGGUUUAGCAUAUUUGAUCAGAGAAUCAAUUAAGUUGUAAUAGACCUCGGAGAUCAGAGUCCAACCUUUGACCAGUCACCACCUUCUCAGUGCCAGGGUCCGGUUAAAUGCCACAUCCAGUUGUUUCUUGGACACCUCCAGGGAUGGUGACUUGGCCACCAGCUCCCUGGGCAGUGCAUUCCGGUGUUGUGGAGGUGUGAAUUUUGAACAGUUGAAGAUGAUACACAUAACAUUAGUGGUGUUGUCUGAACAAUCGAUGUCAGUUUUGUAUCUGAAGACCAGUUUUCCUCUGACUCCCAUGCUGCUGUGUAGAUUGUAUCAGGAAUUAAUUUAAAGUACAUUAAUAAAAUUUACAUUCUGUUGUGUGAUGCAGCAGCCUUCAUAUGGUUGUCAUCAAAUGGUAGCACAGACCAGAGCUUCAAAAAAUUUGGGAAUUUGCUGCAGCUCCCAGUGUCACAAGACUGGACUUGCUCUUUUUUGGGAGUGCACUGUAAGCAGCUGUUUGGGUGCUGAAAUGUCAUAUGUGAGUUACUCUGCUCUUUGUGCAUAUUUACUUACAAAUGUGUUUAAUCAGAAUCCAGGAGUUUUCUUCUUCUAGUGUUUUGUAGCAUCUUUUUUGUUAGUGUUGUGAUUUGAGGCCUAACAACUGGGCUGAGUUUUUGCUCAGUUGUGCCAUUUAGUAUCUGUGUGCCAUGUUCUAAUGGACAAACACCUCAGUUGUAAUUUGGAUUUUUGGAAUAAUGCAUGAAUACAUAGACAUUAAAUGUACUGAUGUUGCUCACAGCAAUAAAAUGGAA
Molecule: non-coding RNA, 1381 nt
Organism: Cyanistes caeruleus (blue tit)
Lineage: Eukaryota; Metazoa; Chordata; Aves; Passeriformes; Paridae
Source: RefSeq, a predicted model, not a curated record